Molecule: ribosomal RNA, 429 nt
Filed under: Triticum aestivum (bread wheat)
Lineage: Eukaryota; Viridiplantae; Streptophyta; Magnoliopsida; Poales; Poaceae
Description: partial small subunit ribosomal RNA
Source: RNAcentral
AUGGAGGCCCUAGCUCAAGGCGGCGAGUUGCAGAGUGAGGCCAACCAGCUUGUGAAGGGAGUCAAUCUAUUAGUUGCUACGCCGGGCAGGCUUCUGGACCAUCUGAAAAGUACCGGUGGUUUCAACUACAAAGGGCUAAAGUCUAUCCUUUUUCUUGUCCAGGACUGGAAGUGUCUACCUGUUAAUACUGAAUUAGAUAUGUUGCAGUGCCUUAUAAUUGAUGAAGUUGACCACAUACUUGAGCAAAAUUUCGAGGAGGACAUGAAACAAAUAUUUACCUCCCUCAGGCUCAAAAUGUUAGUGGAUCUGUUAUUCAACCUAUUCAAACUUCCCCCAAUUUCCCUGUCAUCCCACAGGUUGAAGAUAUUGCAAAUUUUACGUUUGGGAAAAAGAAAUAAGGACACCGAAAACUUGUUUAUGUUGGAGUAG